CAGUCGCCACGGUAAUACGAAGGGUGCAAGCGUUACUCGGAAUUACUGGGCGUAAAGCGUGUGUAGGUGGUUGUUUAAGUCUGUCGUGAAAGCCCUGGGCUCAACCUAGGAAUUGCGAUGGAUACUGGGCGACUAGAGUGCGGUAGAGGAUAGUGGAAUUUCCGGUGUAGCAGUGAAAUGCGUAGAGAUCGGAAGGAACAUCUGUGGCGAAGGCGACUAUCUGGGCCAACACUGACACUGAGACACGAAAGCGUGGGGAGCAAACAGGAUUAGAUACCCCCGUAGUCCCUGUCUCUUAUAC
This 301-nucleotide ribosomal RNA is filed under the name uncultured bacterium. RNAcentral's name for it is "partial 16S ribosomal RNA". It matches the Rfam family "Bacterial small subunit ribosomal RNA", at positions 509 to 807 of the family's 1533-position model. The record is from RNAcentral.